AUUCCCUUUUCUUCUCCUCUUCUCCUGAUUUCCCCUUUUGUUCCCGAUGUCGACCCCUUCCUCUUCCCCGAGCUCCCCCCCCCCUCCCCCCCCAAAAAAAAAAGGAAUCUGAUGCGGCGCUUCUUCUUCCUUGCUAAUAAAGCCCAUCAGCCAAGGGAAGCCUCGUCCUCUCCUUUGCAUCGUCGCCUUCCAUCUUUCUUCACCUCACGCCGACCCUCUUCCGAUCUCCCUGUGCGCCGCUGCCGACCGCCACGACCCGACACCGGUCGCCAACCACUUGAUCUCCUCUCGUCAUAAGCCGAGCACCCCAGGUCCAUUAUUCGGUUCCCUAGCUCCCGAUCCACCGCUGACCGAGUGUUUGUUUCCCGAUCCGAGGCGCCAUCUCUACACGGGUUUGGUCUUCGGUCAGGAGCAAAGAUUCAAGCCCUAGUUUCUUUCCCCGUGCUCUAGAUUUGAUCUCUCGCUGCCGCUGAUCACGAUCGUUGAUGUCGCAGCCGCUACCCUCUUCGUGUGAGGACAACUCGGAGACACCGACGAUCGCCGAGGUCGUGUGAAAGCCGUCGGCUGUGUAGAAGCUGCUAUUGUCUGAUCCAGCCACUGUAGCUCCGGUGGUGAGCAACAACACGACCGAAUUUGGCUUUGGCUGGCAGUGCUGUUAAGGAGGUUUUUCCAACAGUGGGCUGAUUCAGGAACAAACGGAUUUGGAUAAGUUAUGCUAUGGAUUAGUUAGAAUUGAUGAGGAGUCAGAUGAUCCAAUUAGGGUUUAUAAUUGGAUUUAGAUUUAGGUUAGUUUUUUGGAGGUAAGAUAUGAUUUCUAAUUAGUAUUGUGUUACAGGACUUUGAUUCGAGACGAACAUCUCGACGUGGGAUCUAUCUGAUACGACUUUCUUUGUGAUGUGGGUACUUUUGACUUA
Zingiber officinale is the source of this 914-nucleotide long non-coding RNA. RefSeq lists it as uncharacterized. The transcript is spliced from 2 exons. The record is from RefSeq and is a predicted model, not a curated record. NCBI's taxonomy places the organism in Eukaryota, Viridiplantae, Streptophyta, Magnoliopsida, Zingiberales, Zingiberaceae.